GACGAACGCUGGCGGCGUGCUUAACACAUGCAAGUCGAACGGAAAGGCCCUGCUUUUGUGGGGUGCUCGAGUGGCGAACGGGUGAGUAACACGUGAGUAACCUGCCCUUGACUUUGGGAUAACUUCAGGAAACUGGGGCUAAUACCGGAUAGGAGCUCCUGCUGCAUGGUGGGGGUUGGAAAGUUUCGGCGGUUGGGGAUGGACUCGCGGCUUAUCAGCUUGUUGGUGGGGUAGUGGCUUACCAAGGCUUUGACGGGUAGCCGGCCUGAGAGGGGGACCGGCCACAUUGGGACUGAGAUACGGCCCAGACGCCUACGGGAGGCAGAAGUGGAGAAUAUUGCACAAUGGGCGGAAGCCUGAUGCAGCAACGCCGCGUGCGGGAUGACGGCCUUCGGGUUGUAAACCGCUUUCGCCUGUGACGAAGCGUGAGUGACGGUAAUGGGUAAAGAAGCACCGGCUAACUACGUG
This 468-nucleotide ribosomal RNA is filed under the name uncultured bacterium. RNAcentral's name for it is "partial 16S ribosomal RNA". It matches the Rfam family "Bacterial small subunit ribosomal RNA", at positions 28 to 507 of the family's 1533-position model. The record is from RNAcentral.